This 292-nucleotide ribosomal RNA is filed under the name uncultured bacterium. RNAcentral's name for it is "partial 16S ribosomal RNA". It matches the Rfam family "Bacterial small subunit ribosomal RNA", at positions 505 to 796 of the family's 1533-position model. The record is from RNAcentral.
GUGCCAGCCGCCGCGGUAAUACGUAGGGUGCGAGCGUUAAUCGGAAUUACUGGGCGUAAAGCGUGCGCAGGCGGUUUUGUAAGCCAGAUGUGAAAUCCCCGGGCUUAACCUGGGAAUGGCAUUUGGGACUGCAAGGCUGGAGUUUGGCAGAGGAGACUGGAAUUCCCGGUGUAGCAGUGAAAUGCGUAGAUAUCGGGAGGAAUACCGAUGGCGAAGGCAGGUCUCUGGGCUAUAACUGACGCUCAUGCACGAAAGCGUGGGGAGCAAACAGGAUUAGAUACCCCCGUAGUCC